AAUAGUUUUUAAAAUUUAUUUAUUAUGAAAAUUUUGUAAUCAACUAUAAAAAUAUAAUUUAAAAAAUUCAUUUAUUCAUAAUUCAACUCCAUGAAUAUUACAAUACAUUGAUUUUGUUAUCUAUAUCAUAAUUAUUUUUCUCACAGGAUCACUGAUUGCAUUCCCUCUACCAAAAAAUUUCAGUUCCCCCUUUACUUUUUCAUCCAAAUUUUCGUUCCCCCCUUUUCAACCUAAACUUUGUAAGAUCUGUCUCUUUCUCUUCCUCUCGCUACUGUUAAUUUGGUGUAUACAUAUCCUUCCCUCUCUUCCCUUCCCUGUCUUCCCUUGUCUCUCCUUCUCCUCCCUUUCCCUCUCCUGUCCUCUCUAUCUGAUUAUUAACCGAGCUUACUCAGAUCUGUUGCCAUCGACGGUGACCCACCAGCCGUUUGAUGCCGAUGUUGACCAUUCUUUCAAGUUUAACAACAACCCACCUGAUGAUGAGGUUGAACGAAAAUCUCAUGGCGAUCUUACUAUCUCACCAACACUAUAUAUAGAUGAUGUUUAGUACAGAGGUUUGUUGACCAGAGAGUUUAAUUCAUUGUCACAUGGUGAGAUAGGAGAAAAUUCAUUGACUUAUAUUCCCUUUCAGGUCUUCCAUUAUACCACUGUUCUCUAAUUUCCUUUGUAGCUGGUAUAUGUCCCGAAUUGGUUUUUUUAAAGGCCCAUAUGUGUUUUUGGAAUCAUAUCUAAGGAGUUACCAACUGCAACUCUGUGAUACUUGUAGCCAAAUCUCUGUUGUCAAUAGCUUCUUAAAUUCACAUAUAUACACUUACUCUCUUAGGGAAUGAAUUGUGACCACAGUCUGGGAUUAAGUUAUAGAUUUUGUUCCUUUGUACCUUACUUGUUAGUUUAUUAUCCUUAAAAAAUGUGAAAGCCUCUGCCUUGCAUGUUUCUUCUAAGAACGGAACUCGUUUUAAGACUAACAGUGUCUGUCUCCAUUAUUGUACUACAACAGAAGCUAGCAGUAAAGAUGGAGGCGAGGUAACUUUUAAGCUAUAUAUCAUAUAUGGUCAUUACCUAUUUUAUAAGUAGAAAGCUUUUUGGGAAGGGGACUGAAAAUGCCAACUUUAUCAUCGAUUCACAUAUUAUCUGUCAGUAUCCUAUUAAUGAUUAAUAGGCCAGAAAGGAUAAGGAUAACCUAUUUCUUGUAUGUUUUUAUGUUGCUUCCAAGACUUCAUGUGAUUUCUACUGACAUAAUUCUAUAUAUGAAGUAGGUAAUUUUAUCAUAGUUUAGAUUCUUUAUGUUUUUGGUUCAUGCUCGUUCUCUUUUGAACAUUUUUGCUUGUGGCAAAUAUGUUAACUGCAUAUUUAAGCAACAUGAUUUAGUGCACAGAGUGCUGCUGUCAUGCUGCCAUCCGAACGAAGAAUCCUGCCAGCAAUCUGCCAAGUCACAGAUGAACUCUAGAUUCCAUUACUGCACCACCAAGGCAGCCAAUGAUGGAGCUCACAACUAUGGAAACACAUAUUGACUCAUAUACAAGGCCAAGUUGAUUAAUUUUCGGUGACGUUGCAAUUAAAGAUAGAUUAAUUUAUGUUUUGUUUAUUGUAUAUCUUUAGGUUAUUUAGAUAUUUGUGAUUUGUCAUCCUCAUUGGACAUAUUGGUGGAUAUUUGAUGAUAUAUUUGGUUGGUUGUAAUGGUGUUUAUUAGUUCGGAAUGAUAACUUUUGUUUACAAA
This is a long non-coding RNA of Daucus carota subsp. sativus, 1714 nucleotides long. RefSeq lists it as uncharacterized. NCBI's taxonomy places the organism in Eukaryota, Viridiplantae, Streptophyta, Magnoliopsida, Apiales, Apiaceae. The record is from RefSeq and is a predicted model, not a curated record. The transcript has 2 exons.